CUCGGCUCUGCCCGAUCCACUGCCCAGCGGGAGCUCCUUGGCCCGCCGCUGAAGGCCCGCUGUGGUCCAUACCCUGGGGGCCGGUGCCGAGGCUGCGCUGCUGGACCUUCCCGGUCAGCUGGCCAGUGCAGAGCCGCCUCGACUCCAGCCCCGAGCUCUGCCUCCGGCCCCUCACGCCCGGCCGACUCCCAAGGUCCCCAGUGCUGGGCUGGUGCGCACCUUCAGAGGGUCUCUGCAGCGUCCAGACGCCAAGGGCCAAGCCCGGGAAGCACGGCUGUUUCUUCGUGACGGAUGUUUGUUCUCCAUUUCUGCACAACAAGUGAUCACAAAACGUGGCAGCUGCAAACAACACACACUACCUCGCAGGCUCUGGGCGAGGCUCGGGAGCAAGAGGCCCCAGGGAUCAGGAACAGAACCGGAACCUAACCUCGGAGGAGCCGUCCCAUGGUGCUGCUGCGUUGGAUUCAUUCCGAGACCCGGAGUGACCACGGCUUCGGCUGCGUCUGUGCGUGCCCUGGGUCUCCUGGGAAGCGGACUUGGCCAGCACUGCGUUCACUACUUGGACACCAGCAGGCUACUGGGACAGGGGAGCCAGGCCCCAGGGCCAGUGUCAACCCUACCCUGUGUGCAUGGCUACCUGAUGUUCCGGGCGUUGCCCUUCUCUGGGGUUUGGCUCCUCUGGGCCGCUGGUGCCUGUUGAGGGGGGGGAAGUAGUGGACACAGAUGUCCACUGGCUGAUGGAGAAGGAACAUGUGGUCCCCCCACUCAAUGGACUGUUACUCAGCCAUGAAAAGGAAGGACGUUCUGAUGGAUGUGACACUCAAAGAAGCCACUCUGGGAGGACCUCAUGGUGUGUGGCCCCAUUUCUAGGGACUGUCCAGAACAGGCAAAUCCAGAGUGGUCACAGGGCUGGAGGAGGAGACCGGGGGUACCGGGAUAAGAGUGAACUUUAACAUACAAGGUUUCUUUUGGGGGGGAAUGAGAAUGUUCUGGAACCAGAUGGGGGGCUCAACAUUGUGUAUGUGCUAAAUGGUGCUAAAUGAUUCACCGGUGUUUUUUUUUGUCUGUUCUAGGGCCGCUCCCACGGCAUAUGGAGGUUCCCAGGCUAGGGGUCGAAUCGGAGCUGCAGCCACCGGCCUGUGCCAGAGCCACAGCAACGCGGGAUCCAAGCCACGUCUGCGACCUACCCCACAGCUCAAGGCAACGCCGGAUCCUUAACCCACUGACCAAGACCAGGGAUCGAACCCGCAACCUCAUGGUUCCUAGUCGGAUUCAUUAACCACGGAGCCACGAUGGGAACUCCCUAAAUGGUUUACUUUAAGAUGCUUAAAAUUGUGAACUUUGUGUUCCUGUUGUUGUUUUUGUUUUUCAGGGCCACACAUGUGGCUUCCAGAGGUUCCCAGGCUAGGGUUCGAAUCGAAGCUACAGCUGCAGGCCUACACCACAGCCACAGCAACGCCAGAUCCAGGCUGCACCUGCGAUGUACACCAUAGCUCAUGGCAAUGCUGGAUCCUUAACCCACUGAGAAAGGCCAGGGAUCGAACCCACAUCCUCAUGGAUCCUAGUCAGGGUGGUUAACCACUGAGCCAGGAAGGGAACUCCUGAACUUUAUGUGUUUUUAACAAUAAAAAAUGCUUGUUCCCUUCCUGCUGGUGGAGC
RNAcentral lists this long non-coding RNA (1659 nucleotides) under Sus scrofa (pig). RNAcentral describes it as "lncRNA (ENSSSCG00025001653.1)". Lineage: Eukaryota; Metazoa; Chordata; Mammalia; Artiodactyla; Suidae. The record is from RNAcentral.